UAUAAGGAGAUAAAAGAACUUCAGCAUUAUAAAUGGAGUUCUUUUGGAAGCAAUGAAUCAAUCAAGAUGGUUGUUCUGUCUCUGAAAGUCAAGGUCUCUUCAGAUCUAGUGAAGAAGUCUUCUUGAUCUUCCUGAAGCUUCUCCCCAGCUAUCUUCUUCUGUGAUAACAUGCUGCUCUGGAUAUUUGUACAGUCACAGUAUUGAAUGAGUCUGGUAUAAGAAGGUCCUUCUGGAGCAGAGGUAGAAGAGAAAGAUGGUCUCUGCUGUCAAGGAGCCUAUCCUCUCAUCAGCGAUGUUGGACACAAAUACCCACAAAGUUAAACCAAAAUGUAUGGCCCUGAUUGCUGGAAGAUGCUGAGGAAGAACAGAAGGAAGACAAUUGGCCCACUUUGGGGAAUUCAAGGAAGGCUGCCUGGAGGAGAGGAAGCUUGAGCUGAAUGUUGGCAGUGGAAAAGGAGUGAGGAGGACAGGGGGAGCGCAGGAGUCCAGUGGAGCUGUUCCCCCUUCACCUUGGAGGAGACGGAGCCUUGGUGGUGGAGGGAGCCGCUCGCUGGGCCGGCUUCGGCAGGGGCCAUGGCGUCCCUCCGGAUGAAAGGCUCAGCGGAACUUGAAGUCAUUAUCGUGAUCAAGGACGCAGGGAACCGUUUCGGCGUGUAAAUGCAGAUGCUCUCUUGGUUUCUGUGAUAGAUGUGUUCCCAGUGCCAAUGCAGCAGUGUGUUGAAUUCUUUUUAAAAUCUG
Mustela erminea (ermine) is the source of this 738-nucleotide long non-coding RNA. RefSeq lists it as uncharacterized. NCBI's taxonomy places the organism in Eukaryota, Metazoa, Chordata, Mammalia, Carnivora, Mustelidae. The transcript is spliced from 5 exons. The record is from RefSeq and is a predicted model, not a curated record.